RNAcentral lists this ribosomal RNA (719 nucleotides) under uncultured bacterium. RNAcentral describes it as "bacterial SSU rRNA". It matches the Rfam family "Bacterial small subunit ribosomal RNA", at positions 93 to 848 of the family's 1533-position model. The record is from RNAcentral.
UAGUGGCAGACGGGUGAGUAACGCGUGGGAACGUGCCUUUCACUACGGAAUAGCUCUUGGAAACGAGUGGUAAUACCGUAUACGCCCUCCGGGGGAAAGAUUUAUCGGUGAAAGAUCGGCCCGCGUUAGAUUAGUUUGUUGGUGGGGUAAUGGCCUACCAAGACUACGAUCUAUAGCUGGUCUGAGAGGAUGAUCAGCCACACUGGGACUGAGACACGGCCCAGACUCCUACGGGAGGCAGCAGUGGGGAAUCUUGCACAAUGGGCGAAAGCCUGAUGCAGCCAUGCCGCGUGAAUGAUGAAGGCCUUAGGGUUGUAAAAUUCUUUCGCUAGGGAUGAUAAUGACAGUACCUAGUAAAGAAGCCCCGGCUAACUUCGUGCCAGCAGCCGCGGUAAUACGAAGGGGGCUAGCGUUGUUCGGAAUUACUGGGCGUAAAGCGCGCGUAGGCGGGCUAUUAAGCCAGAUGUGAAAGCCCGGAGCUCAACUCCGGAACUGCAUUUGGAACUGGUAGCCUAGAGACCAGGAGAGGUUAGCGGAAUACCGAGUGUAGAGGUGAAAUUCGUAGAUAUUCGGUGGAACACCAGCGGCGAAGGCGGCUAACUGGACUGGUACUGACGCUGAGGCGCGAAAGUGUGGGGAGCAAACAGGAUUAGAUACCCUGGUAGUCCACACCGUAAACGAUGAAUGCUAGUUGUCUGCGCGCAUGCGUGCAGGUGACG